Molecule: ribosomal RNA, 764 nt
Filed under: uncultured Pseudoalteromonas sp.
Lineage: Bacteria; Pseudomonadati; Pseudomonadota; Gammaproteobacteria; Alteromonadales; Pseudoalteromonadaceae
Description: bacterial SSU rRNA
Rfam family: Bacterial small subunit ribosomal RNA
Source: RNAcentral
UGGCGGACGGGUGAGUAAUGCUUAGGAAUCUGCCUAUUAGUGGGGGACAACGUUCCGAAAGGAACGCUAAUACCGCAUACGCCCUACGGGGGAAAGCAGGGGAUCUUCGGACCUUGCGCUAAUAGAUGAGCCUAAGUCGGAUUAGCUAGUUGGUGGGGUAAAGGCCUACCAAGGCGACGAUCUGUAGCGGGUCUGAGAGGAUGAUCCGCCACACUGGGACUGAGACACGGCCCAGACUCCUACGGGAGGCAGCAGUGGGGAAUAUUGGACAAUGGGCGGAAGCCUGAUCCAGCCAUGCCGCGUGUGUGAAGAAGGCCUUUUGGUUGUAAAGCACUUUAAGCGAGGAGGAGGCUCCUUUAGUUAAUACCUAAAGAGAGUGGACGUUACUCGCAGAAUAAGCACCGGCUAACUCUGUGCCAGCAGCCGCGGUAAUACAGAGGGUGCGAGCGUUAAUCGGAUUUACUAGGCGUAAAGCGUGCGUAGGCGGCUUUUUAAGUCGGAUGUGAAAUCCCUGAGCUUAACUUAGGAAUUGCAUUCGAUACUGGAAAGCUAGAGUAUGGGAGAGGAUGGUAGAAUUCCAGGUGUAGCGGUGAAAUGCGUAGAGAUCUGGAGGAAUACCGAUGGCGAAGGCAGCCAUCUGGCCUAAUACUGACGCUGAGGUACGAAAGCAUGGGGAGCAAACAGGAUUAGAUACCCUGGUAGUCCAUGCCGUAAACGAUGUAUACUAGCCGUUGGGGCCUUUGAGGCUUUAGUGGCGCAAGCUA